Molecule: transfer RNA, 72 nt
Organism: Ovis aries (sheep)
Lineage: Eukaryota; Metazoa; Chordata; Mammalia; Artiodactyla; Bovidae
Rfam family: tRNA
About the family: Transfer RNA (tRNA) molecules are approximately 80 nucleotides in length. Their secondary structure includes four short double-helical elements and three loops (D, anti-codon, and T loops).
Source: Rfam
UCCCUAGUGACUUAGAUGGUAAAGAAUCUGCCUGCAAUGCAGAAGACCUGGGUUCGACCCCUGGGUUGGGAA